GCCUGGGUGGCUCAGUCGGUUAAGCGUCUGACUUCGGCUCAGGUCAUGAUCUCACAGUUUGUGAGUUCAAGCCCCACGUCGGGCU
Molecule: transfer RNA, 85 nt
Filed under: Felis catus (domestic cat)
Lineage: Eukaryota; Metazoa; Chordata; Mammalia; Carnivora; Felidae
Rfam family: tRNA
About the family: Transfer RNA (tRNA) molecules are approximately 80 nucleotides in length. Their secondary structure includes four short double-helical elements and three loops (D, anti-codon, and T loops). Further hydrogen bonds mediate the characteristic L-shaped molecular structure. tRNAs have two regions of fundamental functional importance: the anti-codon, which is responsible for specific mRNA codon recognition, and the 3' end, to which the tRNAs corresponding amino acid is attached (by aminoacyl-tRNA synthetases). tRNAs cope with the degeneracy of the genetic code in two manners: having more than one tRNA (with a specific anti-codon) for a particular amino acid; and 'wobble' base-pairing, i.e. permitting non-standard base-pairing at the 3rd anti-codon position.
Source: Rfam by way of RNAcentral